CGUUGUUCGUGAAAUCUCACGGCUUAACUAGUGAGCGUGCGGGCGAUACGGGCAGACUUGAGUACUGCAGGGGAGACUGGAAUUCCUGGUGUAGCGGUGGAAUGCGCAGAUAUCAGGAGGAACACCGGUGGCGAAGGCGGGUCUCUGGGCAGUAACUGACGCUGAGGAGCGAAAGCGUGGGGAGCGAACAGGAUUAGAUACCCUGGUAGUCCACGCCGUAAACGGUGGGUACUAGGUGUGGGUUUCCUUCCUUGGGAUCCGUGCCGUAGCUAACGCAUUAAGUACCCCGCCUGGGGAGUACGGCCGCAAGGCUAAAACUCAAAGAAAUUGACGGGGGCCCGCACAAGCGGCGGAGCAUGUGGAUUAAUUCGAUGCAACGCGAAGAACCUUACCUGGGUUUGACAUGCACAGGACGCCGGCAGAGAUGUCGGUUCCCUUGUGGCCUGUGUGCAGGUGGUGCAUGGCUGUCGUCAGCUCGUGUCGUGAGAUGUUGGGUUAAGUCCCGCAACGAGCGCAACCCUUGUCUCAUGUUGCCAGCGGGUAAUGCCGGGGACUCGUGAGAGACUGCCGGGGUCAACUCGGAGGAAGGUGGGGAUGACGUCAAGUCAUCAUGCCCCUUAUGUCCAGGGCUUCACACAUGCUACAAUGGCCGGUACAAAGGGCUGCGAUGCCGCGAGGUUAAGCGAAUCCUUUUAAAGCCGGUCUCUAGUUCGGAUCGGGGUCUGCAACUCGACCCCGUGAAGCCGGAG
RNAcentral lists this ribosomal RNA (749 nucleotides) under uncultured bacterium. RNAcentral describes it as "bacterial SSU rRNA". It matches the Rfam family "Bacterial small subunit ribosomal RNA", at positions 586 to 1331 of the family's 1533-position model. The record is from RNAcentral.